Molecule: non-coding RNA, 459 nt
Organism: Notechis scutatus (mainland tiger snake)
Lineage: Eukaryota; Metazoa; Chordata; Lepidosauria; Squamata; Elapidae
Source: RefSeq, a predicted model, not a curated record
AUCAGACCUGCCUUAACUCUCCCCUCUGCCUUCUUUCAGGUGCUGGAUUCGGCCUAGGUGUGGUCUUCUCCGUCAUCUUCUUCAAAAGAAAGACCUGGCCGCUCGCUUUCGGCUCGGGGAUGGGCCUAGGAAUGGCAUAUUCCAACUGCCAACACGACUUCCAGGCCCCGUACCUUCUCCACGGGAGAUUCAUGAAGGAGCAGUGAUGGGGUCCUGACCUUUCUGUGGCAGAGCAGCGGAGACACCUCGGCCUCCUCCUCCUCCUCUCCGUGGGGAGACAGGCACCCUUAGAGACCCGUGGACUUGCCGGCUGCCCCUCUGGGGAGGGGGCGGCUGCCACCCACCACCACCACUGCGCCUCCAAGCAAAUCUCGAUUUUGUAUCUUCUUCUUUGGGGGGGAACAGCAGGGAAAGGGGCCGUUCUGGGAAAGGCAAUAAAACUGACAAAGCGUUAUCCUC